CGUGAUACUGGAGGGGACAACUGACCAGGUGUCACGUGGUCAGGUGGUCAAGUACAGGUGUAAGGACGACCAUGUACGACAGAGUGGUCAUGAAGACAGGGUGUGUCUGGCUAGUGGCCAGCUAAGUUGGGAUGACCUUGUUUGUGAAGCUGUUGCAGCGUCAGUAACUCCCAGCAACAGCGUGGACCUCGUCGCCCGGUUUAAAUACGGUGAUAGGAACCGGGCGUACCUCGGCGACAAUGACCUCAUAUGGAUCACCAGAGACGGCGAUAUCACCCACUGGCAAUAUUAUGCGACAACAGCAGGAAUGGCAAUGUUCCAGGUGUGGCGUCCGAGAAGCGACGCUGGAGAAAGAAUGUUUGAGUUCAUUGGUCAGAAUCUACUGGACACUGAAAAACUGGACGUAUUGAGGUCUUGGAGUUCCUGUCAACGAUCGUAUUCCUGCUCAAGCCGGAGACGUGAUCGGCAUCUACUACUUUGACCCCCUCAUAGGUAUUACCUUCACGAUUUGCGAUAAAGAAUUGACCCCCAGGGAGCCAAGAUGUCCUGGAUCAACAAGAGAAUCACAGAUAUGAACUACUUCAUCCCUGGCAGCUCUUAUCAGCAGGCAGACCAAGACAAGUGUUACAUUAUGUCCUUCAGAGCCAUUAAUGGUCCUGUGGUCACGUGUAUUGUUUCCUCCGGCGUCGUCUAACGCCGUCUUUGGAAGAACCACGACCAACACCGUCCGGAUACUUACAAAAGUGACGUAUAAAUGCAAAGAUGGCUACAGUCAACUGAGCGGGGACACACAGAGGACGAUGCAUGGGGAGUGGUCAACUGGACGGCCAGGAACUUAUCUGUGCAGACACAUCAACGUCGGUGACGCCUACUAAGUAACAACGUGGACCUGAUAAGCGCGUCCAACCGACGGCGUCAAGUUUUAUAGCCAGCUACAUCGGCGACAACGACCUGAUGAGAAUCGACAGAGAUGGUGAGGUUGUCCAGUGGAAGUUCUUCUCGACUACGACUGGGGAGGAGCACUGCUGCAGGUCUGGAGACCACGACCAGAUGCCGGAAGAGUCGAAAAUUCGAAUUCAUCGGCCAUAAUGGCCUUUUAACCUGGUGGACAGUGAGGUGACCGGUCAGGUGGACACACUGGACGUCCCUGAGUAUGAACGUAUCCAGGUAGAGACGGGAGACCUGAUCGGCAUCUACUACUUUAACCCCCUCCCGGGAUGGGUUUCUCCGAGUGCAGCAGUAGCCAGCACCCAGAGGCGUCACAGAUGUCCUGGAUCAACACCAAGGUGCAUAAACCCUCCUUCUUUGUGAGUGGGGAGAUAUACGACCAGGCGGACA
This is a long non-coding RNA of Haliotis rubra (blacklip abalone), 1338 nucleotides long. RefSeq lists it as uncharacterized. NCBI's taxonomy places the organism in Eukaryota, Metazoa, Mollusca, Gastropoda, Lepetellida, Haliotidae. The record is from RefSeq and is a predicted model, not a curated record. The transcript is spliced from 6 exons.